GAGUUUGAUCUUGGCUCAGAACGAACGCUGGCGGCAGGCCUAACACAUGCAAGUCGAACGCUCCGCAAGGGGAGUGGCGCACGGGUGAGUAACGCGUGGGAACGUGCCCUUAGGUACGGAACAACAGCUGGAAACGGCUGCUAAUACCGUAUGAUGUCUUCGGACCAAAGAUUUAUCGCCUAAGGAUCGGCCCGCGUUAGAUUAGGUAGUUGGUGGGGUAAAAGCCUACCAAGCCUACGAUCUAUAGCUGGUCUCAGAGGAUGAUCAGCCACACUGGAACUGAGACACGGUCCAGACUCCUACGGGAGGCAGCAGUGAGGAAUAUUGGACAAUGGGCGCAAGCCUGAUCCAGCCAUGCCGCGUGAAUGAUGAAGGCCUUAGGGUUGUAAAGUUCUUUUAGCAGUGACGAUGAUGACGGUAACUGCAAGAAAAAGCCCCGGCUAACUCCGUGCCAGCAGCCCGCCGCCGU
Molecule: ribosomal RNA, 469 nt
Filed under: uncultured Alphaproteobacteria bacterium
Lineage: Bacteria; Pseudomonadati; Pseudomonadota; Alphaproteobacteria
Description: partial 16S ribosomal RNA
Rfam family: Bacterial small subunit ribosomal RNA
Source: RNAcentral